RNAcentral lists this ribosomal RNA (2478 nucleotides) under Gemmatimonadota bacterium. Its description in RNAcentral is "bacterial LSU rRNA". It matches the Rfam family "Bacterial large subunit ribosomal RNA", at positions 1 to 2453 of the family's 2925-position model. Lineage: Bacteria; Pseudomonadati; Gemmatimonadota. The record is from RNAcentral.
UCAAACGCAAUAAGGCACACGGUGGAUGCCUUGGCAUCGAGAGGCGAUGAAGGGCGCGGUAAGCUGCGAUAAGCCUGGGGGAGCUGCACACGAGCUGUGAUCUCAGGAUGCCCGAAUGGGGAAACCCGGCCGCGCGAGAGCGCGGUCACCCGCAAGGGAGCCAACGCUGGGAACUGAAACAUCUCAGUACCGGCAGGAAUAGAAAUCAACCGAGAUUCCCCUAGUAGCGGUGAGCGAACGGGGAAGAGGCCAAACCGAGGGAGCUUGCUCCUUCGGGGUUGUGGGACCACGACAUGGGAGUACGACGCGAGGGUGAAGCGGCCUGGAACGGCCCGCCAGAGACGGUGAUAGCCCGGUAACCGGUUGCGUACGACCCCUAGUGGUAUCCCGAGUAGCGCGGCGCACGUGGAAUGUUGCGCGAAUCUGGGGGGACCACCCUCCAAGCCUAAAUACUCCUCGAUGACCGAUAGUGCACGAGUACCGUGAGGGAAAGGUGAAAAGUACGCCAGGUGGCGAGUGAAACAGAUCCUGAAACCGUGUGCUGACAAGCUGUGGGAGGGUCCGCAAGGGCCUGACCGCGUGCCUUUUGCAUUAUGAUCCGGCGAGUUACUGCUCACGUGUCGGUUAAGGCCCUCAGGGCCGGAGCCAGAGCGAAAGCGAGUCUGAACAGGGCGACACAUGAUACGUGGGCGUAGACCCGAAGCCGUGGCGAUCUACCCUUGAGCAGGUUGAAGCCGCCGUAACAGGCGGUGGAGGACCGAACCGAUGUGGGUUGAAAACCGCUCGGAUGACUUGAGGGUAGGGGUGAAAGGCCAAUCAAGCUCGGAGAUAGCUGGUUCUCCCCGAAAUAUAUUUUGGUAUAGCCUCGGAAAAUGAGUUCCUGGGAGGUAGAGCUACUGGAUGGGUCCGGGCUCCGUAAGGAGUACCACCCCCAACCAAACUCCGAAUGCCCAAGGAAUGCUGUCCGGGAGGCAGUCGCGGUGCGCUAAUGUACCGCGGCGAGAGGGAAAGAACCCAGAACGACUGCUAAGGCCCCGGAGUGGUGGCUCAGUGUAGCAAAGGAUGUGAUUGUGCUGUGACAACUGGGAGGUUGGCUUAGAAGCAGCCAUUCCUUUAAAGAGUGCGUAAUAGCUCACCAGUCCAGCGCGAUUGCGCCGAUAAUGGUCGGGACUUAAGCCACCCGCCGAAGCAUCGUCUUUGCACGCAAGUGCAAGGGGUAGGGGAGCGUUCCCAUAGCGAUGAAGCCGCGGCGGAAGCCUUGCGGUGGAGCGGUGGGAAGUGAGGAUGCCGGAUUCAGUACGCGAGAAACCAUGUGAAAACCAUGGUCACCGCAAGCCUAAGGUUUCCUGAGCCAUGUCGAUCAGCUCAGGGUUAGUCGGUCCCUAAGGUGAGGCCAAGAGGCGUAGCUGAUGGGAAACGGGUCAAUAUUCCCGUACCAACUGUAGACCGUUAUGAGUUCGAGGAGGGACGCAGGAGCAGGGUGUCCGACGGCGGGUGGUUGUGCCGUUGCAAGGUGGUAGACGUUGCCCGGUAGGCAAAUCCGCCGGGUUAGUCGAGAACCGACGCCGAAGGGGGCUUUAUCGCCCCCGUCAAGGGAUGCUGACGCACGCUGCCAAGAAAAGCUCCGCGAACCAGGCAUACAGUUGACCGUACCGUAAUCCGACACAGGUAGGCGAGGCGAGCAGCCUAAGGUGCUCGAGUGAUUUACGGAAAAGGAACUCGGCAAAAUGACCCCGUAACUUCGGGAUAAGGGGUGCCGGUAUUACGUAACUAUGUACAAUGGAAGCGGAAACCGGCCGCAGAGAAUCGUCCCAAGCGACUGUUUAGCAAAAACACAGGAGCGUGCAAAGGCAUAGUCCAAGCCGACGUAUACGCUCUGACGCCUGCCCGGUGCCGGAAGGUUAAGGUGAGUUGUCAGCCGCAAGGCGAAGCGAUGAACCGAAGCCCCGGUAAACGGCGGCCGUAACUAUAACGGUCCUAAGGUAGCGAAAUUCCUUGUCGGGUAAGUUCCGACCUGCACGAAUGGCGUAACGACUUGGGAGCUGUCUCUUCCGUAAGCUCGGCGAAAUAGCAGCAUCGGUGAGGAUUCCGAUUACCCGCGACAGGACAAAAAGACCCCAUGCACCUUUACUACAACCUGUCAUUGAUUGUCGGUAUGCGCUGCGUAGCAUAGGUGGGAGCCGGCGAAGCCGCGGUUUUGGCCGCGGUGGAGGCAACAGUGAAAUACCACCCUUCGUUUACUAACAAUCUCACUCAGCCGGCAACACCGGCGAGGACCGUGGCAGGCGGGUAGUUUGACUGGGGCGGUCGACUCCCAAAGAGUAACGGAGGCGCGCGAUGGUGGGCUCAGGCUGGUCGGAAAUCAGCUGAUGAGUGCAAUGGCAUAAGCCCGCCUGACUGCGAGAGCGACAGCUCGAGCAGAGACGAAAGUCGGCCAUAGUGAUCCGGUGGUCCCGCGUGGAAGGGCCAUCGCUCAAC